This 75-nucleotide microRNA precursor is filed under the name Myotis davidii. Its description in RNAcentral is "mir-9229 microRNA precursor family". It matches the Rfam family "mir-9229 microRNA precursor family". Lineage: Eukaryota; Metazoa; Chordata; Mammalia; Chiroptera; Vespertilionidae. The record is from Rfam by way of RNAcentral.
AGACACCUUUAUGGGGCAAGACUUGCUUCAAUGGGGCCAUGGUGCUCAUUGAGUCUUCUCCCUGAGUGUGUCCCU